This 428-nucleotide long non-coding RNA is filed under the name Manihot esculenta (cassava). RNAcentral describes it as "long non-coding RNA (MESC_LNC013170)". The record is from RNAcentral. Lineage: Eukaryota; Viridiplantae; Streptophyta; Magnoliopsida; Malpighiales; Euphorbiaceae.
GCCGGCCAGACGACCUGGGUAAAGCAGUUUCAACAGCUUGCUGGAUGGUCCCGCCUUUCGCCUGCCAUACCCGAAGGAUCUUCAAUGCACCCUUCAGAUGCCUUAGAGGUAACAUCAAAUUUUCAAGAAUUUUGAACUGACCCAUAUUUAUCUCAGGAACGGCAAAAAGUUUCAAAACAGGGACAAGUCAGAAACAGUUCUCCCUUGAGAUGAUAAGAGCACAAUCAAGGCAAACCUCUGGGGCACAAGGCAAUCUGUUUGAAGAAGGCGUCGGAUAAACCUGCCACAGAUAAAACGAGAAUUUCUCGCUUCAACAGAAGGCUCAAGAAUGAAUAAAAGCUGGCGCUGAUAUAUACUCGGAGCCUGAAGACUUAGCACGGGACAGAGCUACACUAGACUCUAAGCUAAUGGCGUCAGAUUUUUAAAAG